Cavia porcellus (domestic guinea pig) is the source of this 4074-nucleotide long non-coding RNA. RefSeq lists it as uncharacterized. The transcript is spliced from 4 exons. NCBI's taxonomy places the organism in Eukaryota, Metazoa, Chordata, Mammalia, Rodentia, Caviidae. The record is from RefSeq and is a predicted model, not a curated record.
UGUAGGACUCUCCCUGAGUUCUCUCUUCCUUUGGCCGCUUCUAUGAUUAGCAGUAAGUUUCCUUCUAGAAGAAGAAUAUCCUAACCCCAGAGAGCUGGGGCAGCUAUCAAAGCUGUGAUAGGCCGAGCGAUGUCCCUCAGAUGUGUUUCGGGUACCAGAACCCUUGCCUGUGUCAUCUUAAAUGGCACAAGAGGCUCUGAAGACGUGAUGAAGUUAAGCAUCUUAGUUGAAGGUUACCCUGGGUUGUCAAUAGAAGCACAAGGGUUAAUAAAAGAGGAGGGCCCGAGGGUCAGAGAGGAGAAGAAGAUGGGACCAUGGACGCAGAGGUGGAAGGGAUGAGCUGUGAAGAUGCAGAAAGCCACAAAAUAAGGAAUUCAGGGAGCUCGUGCGCGUUGGAAAAUGCCAGAGCCUCCGAGAGGAAUGCAGCUUUGCCAAGACAUUAAUUUUAGACAAUAAAACUCAUUGCAGCCUUCUGAUCUCCAAGAACUGUAAGCCUCCUGCAUUGACCAUUUUGCAAAAUAAUGAUGCUCCUCUUAUCAGCCCAUCUUCUGCCAGUUGGUGAAUUUAUCUGCAUGGAGUCUUUCAGCGCUGAUGUACAGUGGUGGGGUAGAUGAAGCAUUGGUUGUAAUAAGAGCAGCCUUGGUGCAACAGAGAGGAUUUAAAGCACACCAUCCUUAUACCUGUGAAAUAGGUUUUAGGUAUUUUGUCCCAGCAACAAGGGAAUAACUAACACUAGGGGAUUGGAAGGAAUGGGACCAAAGCAAGCCUGAAACCCAGCAAGGAAGCUGAAGCAAGAAAGAAGCUGAAGAUCUGGGAUUAGGAGUUGGUUUUUAAAGUCACAGGUUCGUCUAAGCGGAGUGCAUAGUGCGUAUGUAAACUAAUGUUCCAAGACCACAGCAGGAGUCAUAUGUUGUGUUUGACUUCAACACUACUUGAGAGGAUCUGAACUUCCUUUUUUGUGGCGAAGCUGUUAGUGGAGGAGAUUUCUAGGCUGGUACAGACAUUUUUGACUUUUGUGUUUAUCGUGGCCUGUUCAUCAUCCCUUGAAAUACGGAGCAAAUUAUGAAAAGAAUAUAUAAUAUGAACUGUAUUGAUGUUUUAAGGCAGAAAAGUGUGGAGAAAUCCAAGUGGAGACAGGAAAAAAAAAACACUGGACAGGAAAUAAAAAGUUCAAGGGAGAUACACAAAGGUAACUGAUUACUGAAAGUUAGAGUCCUGCUAUAGUUUGGACAUAAAGUGUACCCAAAGCCCCGUGUGCUACAGGCUUGGCUGCCAUCCUGUGAUGCUGGUGGGAGGUGGGAGAGCUUGAGGAGGCAGAGACUAGCAGAGGGAGGUUAGGUCAUGAGGGUGAGCCCUUUAGUGGGCAUUGAGACUUUCGUCCUUUCUUUUUGGUUCCCAGAUUUCCUGAGGUGCGUACCAAGCUCUGUUUGUGUUCCCAAUCAUGAUGCACUAUUUACAAUAGCACCGAAAUCAAUGGAGGCUACUCGCUGGGAACUAAAACCUCCAUGAGCCAAACUAGACCUUUCUUCCAUUUAAGUUGAUUUUCUCUGGUAUUUUGUCUCAGUUAUGAUAUAGCUACUUUCUCAUUGACCAUAUUCACGAAGGCAUCAUCAAGCCUUGGUUGAGUCACUUAUUCGAAGAUGGGGAAACUUAACCAUCAAAGGUAAGGUGGACAGUAGUUUUCUAGAAGGCAAAAGUGAACUGAUCUUGAAACACGAAGUCUUUGCAUUAGAGGUUAUGAAUAAAUGGUGUGAUUGGAAAAGCCAAGGGAUGAUCUCAGAGUCUGUCUUUCUGCAUUUGUUGAGAUGAUCAUGUGAUUUUUUUUUUUUUAUCGGUACCGAGGAUCUGAACUCAUGACCAAGCGCUUGCAAGGCAGGCACUUAUGCUGCUGGGCUAAAUCCCCAGCCCCAUCAUGUGAUUUUUAUUUUCCUGUUUCUGUGAUGUAGUACAUGUGUUGAUUUAUAUAUUGAGCCAUGUUUUCAUCCCCGGGAUGAAUUCUACUCGAUCAUGAUGUAUGAUCUUUUGGAAGGUUUGUUGCAUUCUGUUUUCCAGAAUCUUGUUGAGGAUUUUCACAUCUAAAAACUUUAAGAGACUGACCUGUGGUUGGUUUUUUUUCUUGGUUGAGUCCUUCACUGGUUUUGGAAUCAAGAUAAUGCUGGCUUCUAGGAAUACUUCUGGAGUGCUCAUUUCCUUUCAUUUUCAUUAAAGAGCUUGAGGAGUAUUAAUGCUGGUUCUUUCCUGAAAUUCUUUUAGAAUUCAGCAGUGAAUCCCUCUGCUCCUGUGCUUUGCUUAGUUGAUAAUUUGUUUGUAACUAGGAAUGCAUUUGUCAUGAGUUUUCCAAUUUAUUGGUGUAUAGGGUUGUGAUUGCUAAUAAUCUAGAUUUCAGCAGUGUCCAUUGUUACUUCAUUUCUGAUUGCAUUGAUUUGGGUCUUUUAUUUCCAUUUUUUUGUAAAUUAGCUAAAGGUUUGUCUAUUUUGUUUAGUCGUUGGAAGAUUUGGAUCUAUGAUUCAUUGAUAAUUUAUAUUGUCUUUUUACUUUCAAAUUCAUCAAUUUCUGCUUCUAUUUUUAUAACUUCCUUCCUUGUGCCCACUUUGGGUUUGGAUUGUUCUUGUUUUUUUAGUCCAGACCUCUGCUGCUCUGUACCAAGGAGAAGCAAUUGUGUAGCCGGCUGGGGUUGGCUGGUGGUUGUGCUGUAGGCAGUGGUGGUGGCUUAUAAAUAUGGAACUUCCAACACUACAAUAUUUGACAAGUUUUGCAUAUAUAUUUCUUCCUAGGAUGAUGAUUGUGGGAAACUUUUAUAAAGCGUUAUAUUGUAAUAAGAGGAAAAGAAAAGGUAAAGUCAGAACAUUAAAGAAAAGUUUAAGAUAUGGUUGUGACAAGAAGUCUUCUGGUAUCUGGAGAACGAUUUGAUGCUUUUGCCACCACCAGCGUUGGCAGUGAAUUUUACGCUGCCAGGAAGCAGGAGAGCCCAGUGCAUACCUUUCUUUCUCAUUUCCAUGGCUCUUCUUUUGAGCCUUUUACAGACUUCUCUUUCCUGAUGAGGUGAAAGGAAAUUAAUGAGAAUAAACCAAAAACUGGCCAGUUUGACUAACGUAAGUUUUUUACAGCAACAUGGAAUUCAAUGCAUCCAAGUUUUCUGUUGUCUCAAGUAUUAGAUAAAGAAGUUUGAAGGUUCACAGUUUGGCGUGAGUUAUGGGACUAUUCCCAGUUAAAUAUGGAAAUAAAUUCAUCAAAUUACAUGGGUGAUCAAAAGAUACAGUGAAUGUUUAAGUUAAAAAAGUUGUUACAGUAAAAGACACACGUCAGGGAUGAUGGGAUAAGGGUGGUCAAAGCGAGAGGGCGUAUUUUGAAGGUGAUUAAUGGGGAUGUGUCUUUUACUGUAACAAAUUUUAAAACUUAAACACUCAGGGGCUGGGGAUUUAGCUCAGCGGCAUAAGUGCCUGCCUUGCAAGCAGGCGGUUGUGAGUUCAAUCCCUGGUACCAAUAAAAAAAACAAAAAACAAAAAACAAAAAAAACCACCUUAAACACUCCUCAUUUUUUGAACUUCUAAAAUUUGUAUUGGUACGUGUUUGCAGUACACAGUAAUUACACUCAACCUGGGGAAUUUCUACGUGAGCAUAAUGCUGAUUAACUGCUUCUGCCUGCCUGCCUCUCCUCUCCCUCUCUCUGGUAGAUCUUUUGUUAAUGGGAAGGGGACCACGCGUCAUACAUGUUUUGAUCACCUCUUGUGUAUCAGCAUUUGUAGUGAUUUCUGUCUAAAAUAUUAUAGUGUGUCCUUCUCUACCUUGCUCACUGGUUCUGGCAUGAAGUGACUUUGAGCUCUUUCUCAGAGUCAGAAUGUUCAUAUGAGGUACGUGUUUUGAAUGAUUCAGGAUAUUAAGGCAGCUGUGACAGCACAAUGAAAGACACUAACAAACAACAUUUUCAGAGGAGACGACACUAAGGCAGCCACAGCAACACAACUAUGGAGGCUCGUGAAAGAUGACUUCCAGAACUACUGAAUAAAGCGGCCAGCAUGCCGAGUUAAUUGUGCUUGAUGAUUAUCAGCUGCAUGAAUUGCAAACAUGUGCGAA